RNAcentral lists this long non-coding RNA (297 nucleotides) under Ananas comosus (pineapple). Its description in RNAcentral is "long non-coding RNA (ACOM_LNC009178)". Lineage: Eukaryota; Viridiplantae; Streptophyta; Magnoliopsida; Poales; Bromeliaceae. The record is from RNAcentral.
AUCCACGCUAAUUCAAUUUAUGUCAUCAAGCCACCUCAGAUCCAUUUGUUCGUUCGCCCCGGCCGCUUCGAUCGAUUUCUCGCCUCUUCGAUCCCCUCUUCGAUCCCUUGCCUCUUCGAUCCCUUCUCCAUUCCCGCCACUUCAAUCCCUGCCCCGCCGCUUCGGUCCCUCCCCCACUCCCGCCACUUCGAUCUCUACCCUGCCUCCACCCCGCCUCCUCUUCGAUCCCUCCUCCGCCUCUUCCAUCUCUCUCUACGCUUCAUCAUCUCCCUCCUCAAAACCCUAAUAAUCAGAGAG